CGCGUAGGCGGAUGUUACAGUCAGGCGUGAAAUUCCUGGGCUCAACCUGGGGGCUGCGUUUGAUACGUGAUGUCUGGAGUUCGGAAGAGGGUCGUGGAAUUCCCAGUGUAGAGGUGAAAUUCGUAGAUAUUGGGAAGAACACCGGUGGCGAAGGCGGCGACCUGGUCCGAUACUGACGCUGAGGCGCGAAAGCGUGGGGAGCAAACAGGAUUAGAUACCCUGGUAGUCCACGCUGUAAACGAUGUGCGCUGGAUGUUGGGUGACCUAGUCAUUCAGUGUCGUAGCUAACGCGAUAAGCGCACCGCCUGGGGAGUACGGCCGCAAGGUUGAA
RNAcentral lists this ribosomal RNA (331 nucleotides) under uncultured bacterium. RNAcentral describes it as "bacterial SSU rRNA". It matches the Rfam family "Bacterial small subunit ribosomal RNA", at positions 568 to 898 of the family's 1533-position model. The record is from RNAcentral.